This 274-nucleotide ribosomal RNA is filed under the name uncultured bacterium. RNAcentral's name for it is "partial 16S ribosomal RNA". It matches the Rfam family "Bacterial small subunit ribosomal RNA", at positions 523 to 796 of the family's 1533-position model. The record is from RNAcentral.
CUACGGAGGGUGCGAGCGUUGUUCGGAAUCACUGGGCGUAAAGGGCGCGCAGGCGGUUUGUCAAGUCAGAUGUGAAAGGCCACGGCUCAACCGUGGAGGUGCAUCUGAAACUGGCAGACUUGAGUACCGGAGGGGAAAGUGGAAUUCCCGGUGUAGAGGUGAAAUUCGUAGAUAUCGGGAGGAACACCGGAGGCGAAGGCGACUUUCUGGACGGAUACUGACGCUGAGGCGCGAAAGCGUGGGGAGCAAACAGGAUUAGAAACCCCAGUAGUCC